AUUGAACGCUGGCGGCAUGCCUUACACAUGCAAGUCGAACGGCAGCACGGGGCAACCUGGUGGCGAGUGGCGAACGGGUGAGUAAUGCAUCGGAACGUGCCAUUGAGUGGGGGAUAACGUAGCGAAAGUUGCGCUAAUACCGCAUAUUCUGUGAGCAGGAAAGCAGGGGACCGCAAGGCCUUGCGCUCUUUGAGCGGCCGAUGUCAGAUUAGCUAGUUGGUGAGGUAACGGCUUACCAAGGCGACGAUCUGUAGCGGGUCUGAGAGGAUGAUCCGCCACACUGGAACUGAGACACGGUCCAGACUCCUACGGGAGGCAGCAGUGGGGAAUUUUGGACAAUGGGCGCAAGCCUGAUCCAGCCAUGCCGCGUGAGUGAAGAAGGCCCUCGGGUUGUAAAGCUCUUUCGGUCAGGAAGAAGGGCUUAGUGGCUAAUAUCCACUAGGUUUGACGGUACUGAAAUAAGAAGCACCGGCUAAUUCCGU
RNAcentral lists this ribosomal RNA (482 nucleotides) under uncultured bacterium. RNAcentral's name for it is "bacterial SSU rRNA". It matches the Rfam family "Bacterial small subunit ribosomal RNA", at positions 30 to 506 of the family's 1533-position model. The record is from RNAcentral.